RNAcentral lists this transfer RNA (83 nucleotides) under Streptomyces sp. SID4937. RNAcentral's name for it is "tRNA-Phe". The record is from RNAcentral. RNAcentral also lists the same sequence under 1 other name. Lineage: Bacteria; Bacillati; Actinomycetota; Actinomycetes; Kitasatosporales; Streptomycetaceae.
GCCGGGGUGCGCGAGGAGCGCAAGCUGAAAAAGCUUGUCGUGAAGGCGCGGUUCCAGUGGAGGUUCGACUCCUCCCUCCGGCA